GAGGAAGACGCAGUGAACUGAAACAUCUAAGUAGCUGCAGGAAGAGAAAGCAAAAGCGAUUGCCUUAGUAGCGGCGAGCGAAACGGCAGGAGGGCAAACCGAAGAGUUUACUCUUCGGGGUUGUAGGACUGCAAUGUGGACUCAAAGAUUAUAGAAGAAUGAUUUGGGAAGAUCAGCCAAAGAGAGUAAUAGCCUCGUAUUUAAAAUAGUCUUUGUACUUAGCAGUAUCCUGAGUACGGCGGGACACGUGAAAUCCCGUCGGAAUCUGGGAGGACCAUCUCCCAACCCUAAAUACUCCCUAGUGACCGAUAGUGAACCAGUACCGUGAGGGAAAGGUGAAAAGCACCCCGGGAGGGGAGUGAAAUAGAACCUGAAACCGUGUGCCUACAACAAGUUCGAGCCCGUUAAUGGGUGAGAGCGUGCCUUUUGUAGAAUGAACCGGCGAGUUACGUUAUGAUGCGAGGUUAAGUUGAAGAGACGGAGCCGUAGGGAAACCGAGUCUGAAUAGGGCGCCUUAGUAUCAUGACGUAGACCCGAAACCAUGUGACCUACCCAUGAGCAGGUUGAAGGUGCGGUAAGACGCACUGGAGGACCGAACCAGGGCACGUUGAAAAGUGCUUGGAUGACUUGUGGGUAGCGGAGAAAUUCCAAACGAACUUGGAGAUAGCUGGUUCUCUCCGAAAUAGCUUUAGGGCUAGCGUCGACAUUAGAGAUUCUUGGAGGUAGAGCACUGUUUGGGUGAGGGGUCCAUCCCGGAUUACCAAUCUCAGAUAAACUCCGAAUGCCAAUGAAUUAUGGUCGGCAGUCAGACUGCGAGUGCUAAGAUCCGUAGUCGAAAGGGAAACAGCCCAGACCACCAGCUAAGGUCCCAAAAUAAUUGUUAAGUGGAAAAGGAUGUGGGGUUGCACAGACAACUAGGAUGUUAGCUUAGAAGCAGCUAUUCAUUCAAAGAGUGCGUAAUAGCUCACUAGUCGAGUGACCCUGCGCCGAAAAUGUACCGGGGCUAAAACAAUUUACCGAAGCUGUGGAUACCUUUAUAGGUAUGGUAGGAGAGCGUUCUAUGUGUGAUGAAGGUAUACCGUGAGGAGUGCUGGAACGCAUAGAAGUGAGAAUGCCGGUAUGAGUAGCGAAAGACAGGUGAGAAUCCUGUCCACCGUAAGACUAAGGUUUCCAGGGGAAGGCUCGUCCGCCCUGGGUUAGUCGGGACCUAAGGAGAGACCGAAAGGUGUAUCCGAUGGACAACAGGUUGAUAUUCCUGUACUAGAGUAUGUAGUGAUGGAGGGACGCAGUAGGCUAACUAAAGCAGACGAUUGGAAGAGUCUGUCUAAGCAGUGAGGUGUGAAUUGAGUCAAAUGCUUAAUUCUAUAACAUUGAGCUGUGAUGGGGAGCGAAGUUUAGUAGCGAAGUUAGUGACGUCACACUGCCAAGAAAAGCUUCUAGCGUUUAAACAUACUCUACCCGUACCGCAAACCGACACAGGUAGUCGAGGCGAGUAGCCUCAGGUGAGCGAGAGAACUCUCGUUAAGGAACUCGGCAAAAUGACCCCGUAACUUCGGGAGAAGGGGUGCUGACUUUAAGUCAGCCGCAGUGAAUAGGCCCAAGCAACUGUUUAUCAAAAACACAGCUCUCUGCUAAAUCGUAAGAUGAUGUAUAGGGGGUGACGCCUGCCCGGUGCUGGAAGGUUAAGAGGAGUGCUUAGCGUAAGCGAAGGUAUGAAUUGAAGCCCCAGUAAACGGCGGCCGUAACUAUAACGGUCCUAAGGUAGCGAAAUUCCUUGUCGGGUAAGUUCCGACCCGCACGAAAGGCGUAAUGAUUUGGGCACUGUCUCAACGAGAGACUCGGUGAAAUUUUAGUACCUGUGAAGAUGCAGGUUACCCGCGACAGGACGGAAAGACCCCAUGGAGCUUUACUGCAGUUUGAUAUUGAGUGUCUGUACCACAUGUACAGGAUAGGUAGGAGUCUAAGAGAUCGGGACGCCAGUUUCGAAGGAGACGCUGUUGGGAUACUACCCUUGUGUUAUGGCCACUCUAACCCAGAUAGGUGAUCCCUAUCGGAGACAGUGUCUGACGGGCAGUUUGACUGGGGCGGUCGCCUCCUAAAAGGUAACGGAGGCGCCCAAAGGUUCCCUCAGAAUGGUUGGAAAUCAUUCGCAGAGUGUAAAGGUAUAAGGGAGCUUGACUGCGAGAGCUACAACUCGAGCAGGGACGAAAGUCGGGCUUAGUGAUCCGGUGGUUCCGUAUGGAAGGGCCAUCGCUCAACGGAUAAAAGCUACCCUGGGGAUAACAGGCUUAUCUCCCCCAAGAGUUCACAUCGACGGGGAGGUUUGGCACCUCGAUGUCGGCUCGUCGCAUCCUGGGGCUGUAGUCGGUCCCAAGGGUUGGGCUGUUCGCCCAUUAAAGCGGCACGCGAGCUGGGUUCAGAACGUCGUGAGACAGUUCGGUCCCUAUCCGUCGCGGGCGUAGGAAAUUUGAGAGGAUCUGCUCCUAGUACGAGAGGACCAGAGUGGACUUACCGCUGGUGUACCAGUUGUCUUGCCAAAGGCAUCGCUGGGUAGCUAUGUAGGGAAGGGAUAAACGCUGAAAGCAUCUAAGUGUGAAACCCACCUCAAGAUGAGAUUUCCCAUGAUU
RNAcentral lists this ribosomal RNA (2627 nucleotides) under Streptococcus pneumoniae. Its description in RNAcentral is "partial 23S ribosomal RNA". It matches the Rfam family "Bacterial large subunit ribosomal RNA". The record is from RNAcentral. Lineage: Bacteria; Bacillati; Bacillota; Bacilli; Lactobacillales; Streptococcaceae.